GCAAUUGGUGAUCUACAAUCAUUCAAUUACACUGACGAUUGUAGUUAGGAAUUGUGGCCGCUACAAUCGCUCAUUCGUGUCUGAAACGAAAAAUGGCAUCGAAAAAAUGCCAAGAAAUAUUAAUAUUGGCAACUGCGGGAGCAAGAAUUGAUUGUGAUAAUUAUUAUGCUCCUUGCAAGUAAAUGUACCAACAAGAGAAUUUGGACGCAUCGAUGGAUAGCAAGAAGAAAGGAAAAAGGAUUAUAUCAUAACUUUUUCUUGGAACUCAGUCUAGAAGAUCCUAAUAGAUUCAGGAGUGUUUACGUAUGGACACAGCAACUUUUGAAGAACUUUUAGAGAAAGUUUCUCCUGAAACUUGUUGAAAAGAAGAAUACACAUUUGAGAGAAAGCAUUUCUAUUUUAGCAGCAGAAAGACUUUCUUUAACUUUGCGGCAUUUGGCUACAGGAGAGACAGGAAUCCUUGUCAUUAACUUUUAGAAUAGGUCAAAGCACAAUAUCUGGCAUCAUAAAAGAAGUAUGUCGAGCUAUCAUUACUGUAUUAUAAAGGAAGAAUAUUUAAAAGCUCCUUCUAUUGAAAUGAAGUGGCAAGAAAUUGCACGAAAUUUUGGUGAACUAUAGCAAUUUGAAAAUUGUAUAGGUGUAAUUGACGGGAAACACUGUAGAAUUGACCCACCACUUAGAUCAGGGUCACUUUAUUAUUGUUACAAGGAUUUCUUCAGUAUUGUUUCAAUGGCAGUUGUCGAUGCUUAUCUACGCUUUAUAUACGUUGAUAUUGGGACAAAUGGACGAAUAGUGAUUCGGGUGUAUGGAAUAAAUGUACUCUCAAAGCUCGUUUAGAAAGCAACAGCCUUCAUAUUCUGGAUCCAUCUUCAUUAUCGGGCACAAGAGAAAUGUUUCCUUAUGUAUUAAUAGGUGAUGAAGGUUUUCCUUUAACAGAGAAACUCCUUAUACUGUAUCCUUCUCAGUGCUUUGGUAGAAAAAAAUCGUAGAAUUUUCAAUUAUAGGUAAGGUACCUUUUUAAGAAUUAAAUGUCAAAAUUCUCUUGAUUAUGAUUUUAUUGAUAAUGGAUCGAUGGUAAUACUGUAUUAUACAUUUGCCAAGAGCUAGACGUUGCUCAGAAAAUGCUUUUGGUAAUUUUGGAGCCAGAUUCCUUUAUAUCGAAGUGCAAUGAGAUAUGAUUCAGAUGAUGGUGAAAAGAUAAUAAUGGCAACUUGCUGUCUCCACAAUAUGUUACGGAGUAAAGUUGUUGGCAGGGCCAUGUAUACACUUCCAUCAUUUAUUGAUGAAGAAGAUAUAAUGUCAGGUGAAAUCAGACCGGGCGAUUUCCGGGAAGAGUCAGCAAAUGGUUUAAUAAAUCUGGGUAAUCAAGGAGGAAACAGGCACGCAAAUUCUAUUUUUCUAAGAAAUAAAUGGUGCGACUAUUUUAAUGCAGUACCAUGGCAAGAGCAUAUGGUGCGAUAAAAAAAUUGUAACAUUAUUUAUACGUUCUUUAAAAAUAUAUCUUUUAUAGCUACUAUCAGAAAAAAUACACAUGAGAAUAAUACACAGUAUAAAAUACAAGUAAUAGACUAUAUUAAUACAGAGAGAA
RNAcentral lists this long non-coding RNA (1588 nucleotides) under Acromyrmex echinatior (Panamanian leafcutter ant). Its description in RNAcentral is "uncharacterized LOC105154796". Lineage: Eukaryota; Metazoa; Arthropoda; Insecta; Hymenoptera; Formicidae. The record is from RNAcentral.